RNAcentral lists this ribosomal RNA (257 nucleotides) under uncultured bacterium. RNAcentral's name for it is "partial 16S ribosomal RNA". It matches the Rfam family "Bacterial small subunit ribosomal RNA", at positions 524 to 776 of the family's 1533-position model. The record is from RNAcentral.
UACGGUAGGUGGCAAGCGUUGUUCGGAAUUACUGGGGCGUAAAGGGCUCGUAGGCGGCCAACUAAGUCAGACGUGAAAUCCCCUCGGCUUAACCGGGGAACUGCGUCUGAUACUGGAUGGCUUGAGUUUGGGAGAGGGAUGCGGAAUUCCAGGUGUAGCGGUGAAAUGCGUAGAUAUCUGGAGGAACACCGGUGGCGAAGGCGGCAUCCUGGACCAACACUGACGCUGAGGAGCGAAAAGCCAGGGGAGCAAACAGG